AGAGCAGGGCGCUCUGGGCCUAGCUCAGAGGACAUGCUCCUGAGGCUAGCUAUUUUUCUGCUACUACUCUGGCUAAGAGAGACAUGUAAGGGCUGGAUGUAAACUCCCAGAGGGCACCUCCUGGGCUAGAGAAGAUGCAGCAUGAGCUCAGGAAUUCAACACAACACGAAAUAAUCAACAAAUUCGGGGAAUGUUAAUCUGACCAUCACCAGUUACAAAUGAUGUUUCAUGCUACCUUCUAUUCCUGCCUUCAUAAAUCAAGGAAAAGAAAAAGAGAACAUAUAUCCCCCUACCUUUUGAUUUCCAACAGUCUACUGAGAGGCCAAGAUUAUUUGCAGGGAAAGAAAAGGGGUCAAAAUGUUUUGCCAGUAACUCCCAAAUCAUCUACAGCCAAGGAGAAAAGUGUUUCAAGACAGAGGUGCUCAAUGGUAUCAAAUACUGCCAACAGACCAAGUAAUACAUGCAUUGAAGUGUCUACUGGAUCUAGCUAUAUGAAUUUUUAAUUUAGGACACUUAGGCCAUACUGAAGCAAGGUGACAAAAUGAAUAGCUACAAUGUCUCGUGAAUCUUGGGUUUCCAUUCACCCUGGUAUUCAAGAGAAAUUCUUGCAUCAUGGAAGUUGCAGUUGGAUAGGACUUUCUCAGCUGAACACUGUCAUCUGCCAGAGCUUCAGGCAAGAACCCAGAACAGAUGAAACCCCAGACAUGACAAAAUAAGCCAAAGAAUACCAGGCCAAGGUGUGAAAGGCCAGAUGAGAACAAGCAGCGUACACGAUUCUGUUGCCAACAGAUCUCCCCUAACAGUGUCGUGCACCAAAUUUCCACAGUGAAUGUCAGGAAAAAAUGGCAAUUGAGGUGGGUGGUCAAAAGAGAAGCACAGUCUAUGAUGAAGUCACCCCAGAGAAGUCCUUUUUCCGUUUUCUCCUGAGAAAUUACCAGAAGAAAUUAAAAUCCUUUUGAGUAUUGCA
Molecule: long non-coding RNA, 967 nt
Organism: Homo sapiens (human)
Lineage: Eukaryota; Metazoa; Chordata; Mammalia; Primates; Hominidae
Product: long intergenic non-protein coding RNA 710
Source: Ensembl